This is a non-coding RNA of Salarias fasciatus (jewelled blenny), 492 nucleotides long. Lineage: Eukaryota; Metazoa; Chordata; Actinopteri; Blenniiformes; Blenniidae. The record is from the annotation of a RefSeq genome assembly.
UCCACCUCUACUUACUGGCUGCUCAGAGAAUGACAGACAGCAGUAAACAGGCAGUUUAACACGAUGGCCUCCAGCAGCUUCAGACUACUGCUUUUAACUCUCUGCUGGGCAGGAGCUCGUAGUCAGACUCUGACUGAGUCUGAUCCUGUGGUCAAAAAGCCAGGAGAGUCCCACACAUUGACCUGCACAGGCUCUGGAAUCACACUGAGCAGCGAGUAUAUGGCCUGGAUCAGACAGGCUCCUGGGAAAGGACUGGAGUGGAUUGCCUGGCAUGACAGCAGCAGUGGCAGCAGAAGAUUUUACUCUGAGUCAGUCCGGGGCCGCUUCACCAUCUCCAGAGACGACAGCAGAAAUCAGCUGCUUCUGCAGAUGAACAGUCUAAAAAUGGAAGAUUCUGCUGUUUAUUACUGUGCCAGAGACACACGCUGUACUGUCCUCUUCAUCGUCCUGAUCGGGCUCCUCACCCUCAUGCAAACAGAUUCAUGUCUCUGA